RNAcentral lists this ribosomal RNA (465 nucleotides) under uncultured Streptococcus sp. Its description in RNAcentral is "bacterial SSU rRNA". It matches the Rfam family "Bacterial small subunit ribosomal RNA", at positions 338 to 795 of the family's 1533-position model. Lineage: Bacteria; Bacillati; Bacillota; Bacilli; Lactobacillales; Streptococcaceae. The record is from RNAcentral.
CCUACGGGUGGCAGCAGUAGGGAAUCUUCGGCAAUGGACGGAAGUCUGACCGAGCAACGCCGCGUGAGUGAAGAAGGUUUUCGGAUCGUAAAGCUCUGUUGUAAGAGAAGAACGAGUGUGAGAGUGGAAAGUUCACACUGUGACGGUAACUUACCAGAAAGGGACGGCUAACUACGUGCCAGCAGCCGCGGUAAUACGUAGGUCCCGAGCGUUAUCCGGAUUUAUUGGGCGUAAAGCGAGCGCAGGCGGUUAGAUAAGUCUGAAGUUAAAGGCUGUGGCUUAACCAUAGUACGCUUUGGAAACUGUUUAACUUGAGUGCAGAAGGGGAGAGUGGAAUUCCAUGUGUAGCGGUGAAAUGCGUAGAUAUAUGGAGGAACACCGGUGGCGAAAGCGGCUCUCUGGUCUGUAACUGACGCUGAGGCUCGAAAGCGUGGGGAGCAAACAGGAUUAGAUACCCCAGUAGUC